UACGUAGGGGGGCGAGCGUUGUUCGGAAUUAUUGGGCGUAAAGGGUGCGUAGGCGGCCUGACAAGUCUGAUGUGAAAUCCCUGGGCUCAACCCAGGGCCUGCAUCGGAAACUGCCGGGCUUGAGUGUGGGAGAGGUGAGUGGAAUUCCUGGUGUAGCGGUGAAAUUCGUAGAUAUUCGGAAGAACACCAGUGGCGAAGGCGACUCACUGGACACGUAUUGACGCUGAGGUGCGAAAGCGUGGGGAGCAAACAGG
RNAcentral lists this ribosomal RNA (254 nucleotides) under uncultured bacterium. Its description in RNAcentral is "partial 16S ribosomal RNA". It matches the Rfam family "Bacterial small subunit ribosomal RNA", at positions 524 to 776 of the family's 1533-position model. The record is from RNAcentral.